AAAACAACUCCCACCAUUUAACAACAAUAAUCAUUCAUAUUCUUAUUCAUAUUCAUCUCUCUCACAAACAAAACACAAACCCACACAAAAACCAAAACAUUGUUUGUUACAUUGUUUUGUUCUUCUCUGAGAAAACCAAAAACUUUAAAAGAUAGCCAUGGAUUGCGGCAUCUAUGGCGUCGUAAAAAAACUCCGCACGUUGUUAUUGUUUAUCUACAUCUUCAUGUUCGUAAUUUUCACUUCUCUGAACUUCACACACUCUCUUUCAUCAUCUUCAACAGUUCAAAUCAACUCAAAUUCAAUCUUAGUAGCUUUACUUGAUUCACAUUACACAGAAUUAGCAGAACUCGUUGAAAAAGCUAUGUUGUUACAAACAUUAGAAGACACUGUUGGUAAAAACAACAUCACAAUUUUCGCACCAAAAAACGAAGCUCUAGAAAGAGAUCUUGAUCCUAAUUUCAAGAUUUUUCUUCUUGAACCGAGGAAUCUCAAAUCUCUUCAGACACUGUUAAUGUCACAUAUAAUUCCAACCCGAAUCAAUGGAUCCGGGUCGGUAUUCGGGUUGACCCGACAUAGAACACUUUCUAAGGUUCAUCAAUUGACUAUUCAAUCGAAUGGAACUUCUCAGCAAUGGAGUGUUAACGGUGCUAAGAUUGUUCAUCUUAACGCCGUUACUAGACCUGACGGUGUUAUUCACGGAAUUGAACGGCUUCUUAUUCCACGGUCUGUUCAAGAUGACUUUAACCGUCGCCGGAGUCUUGUGUCAAUUGCUGCUAUUAAGCCGGAAGGAGCACCGGAGGUUGAUCCGAGGACUCAUCGGUUGAAGAAACCAGCUCCGCCGCAGAAUCCUGGCUCACCGCCGGUACUUCCAAUUUACGAUGCACUGGCUCCGGGACCUUCGCUAGCACCGGCACCAGCACCAGGACCUGGUGGACCCCGCCACCAUUUCAACGGCGAGGCACAGGUGAAAGAUUUCAUCCAAACACUGAUUCAUUACGGUGGUUACAACGAGAUGGCGGACAUUCUUGUUAACCUAACGUCGUUAGCAACGGAAAUGAGUAGGUUAGUUUCAGAGGGUUAUGUUUUAACUGUUCUAGCUCCAAAUGAUGAAGCUAUGGCUAAGUUAACGACGGAUCAGUUAAGUGAACCGGGUUCACCUGAACAAAUUAUGUAUUAUCAUUUGAUUCCUGAGUAUCAAACCGAAGAGAGUAUGUAUAAUGCUGUUAGAAGAUUCGGGAAAGUUCGAUAUGAUACACUUCGAUUGCCUCAUAAGGUUGAUGCUCAAGAAGCUGAUGGGUCGGUUAAAUUCGGGCAUGGUGAUGGGUCGGCUUAUUUGUUCGACCCGGAUAUUUAUACCGAUGGAAGGAUUUCUGUACAAGGAAUUGAUGGAGUUUUGUUUCCACAUCAAGAAGAGGAGACUGUUGUUGAUAAGGAUGCGACCCGAACCCGAACGGGUCAACCCGCUAAAGUUGUGGCUAAGCAAAGAAGAGGUGCGUUGCUUUGUUUUGUUCUUAACUUUUGUUUUUGCUUUAUUUUGUUUGGGUGUGUUUUAAGUCAAGAUGAAAAAGUGAAAAAAUACAAAAAAGGUGAUUAUGAUGUGUUUCAUUUGAUUGGAUUAAAAUUUCCUUUCUUGUAGCGUUGUGGUUGGAAAUUGGAUGUAGAAAUAAUUGGGAUGAAAAAGAGAUGAAAGUGUUAAAUAUUUCAUUGUUUUUUAGGGAAGAAAAUAAUUUACAAAGAGAAGUGUCUAUACAACUUUAUGUUUGGUUUUGCAAUGAUUAAAUUUAUUUUGUUAAUUUGAUUCUGGUUAUAAGUUAGUUAGUUGAAUAAAUGGUUUAUGUUUCGACACGUUCACGUGAAAAUGUGUAGAACAAUAUGUUAGCGGCUCAAAAUCAUGUUUGAAGGAAAAGAAACUCUAAAAAGAACUUCAGUCUUGGUUUCACAUUCUAGAGACAAAAGUAAUUCUGCUCAAGAACACCCUAAACAUGUCAAAAUCAAUUUUUUCCGAUUCAGAAUCACUUUCGAGACAAAAAUGAUUUUGUUUUUUUUAUGGAUUAGACAAAAUUCAUUUCAAACGUGCACUAAGUAAGAGUUUUAUUUUAGGCGAACUCUUAAAGUGGGCCUUUGGAAUGUGAUUUAAGUUAUGCAAUUGUAAUAUUAUGGAGAACUUGAGUGCUGUUGAGGUCCAAGUAUUUUAUUUAUCUUGUUUUCUUCUGAUUUGUGAAUGUUAGGUUAGAUUUUUAGGGAAUUGAUGUGGCAAAUAGAAUACUUAAGGUUUAAGAAACUAGUCUCAUCUAUCCUUAAAAAGUAAAGGCCUUAACUUUUCUCUAAAUAAAUUAAAUAUACAUGUAGCACUAAAAAAGAUUUAGGUGAUCAUUGUUGCAAGUUAACUGCUUAAGCUUUAAGCAUUUUGAACUAAAUGUCAAAUUAAGAUUUAGGUGUCACAACAUUUUAGUAAUUAAUCUUUUGCACUUCCUUUUGUAUCUUUGACAUCAUUUUUGACAUGCUUGACACAAAAGAUUGUUUUAAUCUAAUAUUUGAAUGGUUAGUAUUUUUCCUUGUGUAUCUGUCAUAAGUUCUCUUUAAGCUAAAGUUUCAAUGAAAUGACAGGAAAACUACUGGAAACAGCUUGCUGGAUGCUUGGAACCGUUGGACAGCAUUCUAGAUUCACCUCUUGUCAAUAAAGCCCUCAUCUGGAUGCUACCGAUAACACUCAAAACAAAAAAAAUGCACAGGAAAUUCCAAAGAUGUAAAAAGUCAAAGGAAUAUGAAGGCCAGAUUUACUUGAAUGGUUAAUAUGGGUUUGGUUUAGCCAACUUUUUUUUUUUCUUUUUUUUUUCCUUCUUGAUUUUCUUUCUCCUUGUGGAUUUGGAUCCUUGAUGAGAGCACAAAAGUUUCUAUAUAGUACAUAUAUUAAUAAUAUAUAUGUGAUUAGGUUCAAUUAGUAGUAUUGCUGCUAUUAUAAUUCAAUAGAAGGUUGUGGGGUGAAAAGGUUUUGUGUAAUAAUAAAGAAGGGCGAGAAUCCGUGCGCCCGAUUCAGUAAGUAAUUUUACUCAAGAAAUGGAAGAUGGAAUAAUAAAAUUAUUCUUUACUGUAA
Molecule: RNA transcript, 3094 nt
Organism: Trifolium pratense (red clover)
Lineage: Eukaryota; Viridiplantae; Streptophyta; Magnoliopsida; Fabales; Fabaceae
Gene name: fasciclin-like arabinogalactan protein 15
Exons: 3
Source: RefSeq, a predicted model, not a curated record